AACUGCACAGCUGUGAAAUUAAGAUUUGCAGAGCAUGUUUGUUGAUGGAUGCCAGACCAGCAACCUAACAUUAGUGGUUAUGAAUGUGGAGAUGCAAGCAAUGUGCUGAAACUCUAUCUACAAGGGAGCACUAUAGAGCCUAUGAGUUGCAUCCAACAAGAGAGCUGGUGAUUCUGGAUGUGAAGGAGCUUGCUGACCCAUACCCUUUGGCUGACUAUAAUGUUGGAUCCAUACGAAUGGUGACAUUAAAGAGAUUUGUACAUGUGACGGAUUAAAUACAAGAUGGCUGCAACUAUAAGAGUUGUACUUGGAGUAAAUGAUGCAUCCAAACUGGCUCUUCCAACUGGAAUACCAGGUUCAGUGGCAGACCUUAAAGAAGAGAUUAAAAGACAUUUUGGCUUGUCAGGAAACUUUAGACUUCAGUACAGAGACACUGAAUUUGACAAUGAGUUUGUGAACUUGUCAUGUACUUCAGACAUCAAAGACAAGAGCACAGUGAAGAUAAUUUACUUAACAAAUGAUACAAAUGCGUCUCUACCUCACCAUGAGCCCACUGCUUCACCUCAAGGAGUUGAUAAUACGUCUUUAUCAUCUUUUUCAUCAACAUCAGACACUGACAUACUAUCCUCCCCUGGAUCUUCUGCAUCUGCAUCUUCGGGGUCCUCCCUCAGAUCACAGCCAUGGCCUCAUACCUUCCCACUACCUCAGUUCAAUUAUGAGGUUGACGUUC
Molecule: long non-coding RNA, 730 nt
Organism: Solea senegalensis (Senegalese sole)
Lineage: Eukaryota; Metazoa; Chordata; Actinopteri; Pleuronectiformes; Soleidae
Exons: 4
Source: RefSeq, a predicted model, not a curated record